UCCGUCUUUUUUCUUCUUCUCUUCUCCGAUUCGUCUUGUUCUUCCUCUUUACUCUAGUGUGACCUCCCUACGAGUAAAAUUAACCAUAGGAAAAACCCUAGAAAUCAGAAGCAAAUCAUCUUCACGAAAAGAGAAGAAGGUUAUCACAGUAAGAAAAAUGCUUGGGAAGCUACGUUGAUAGAAAUCGUGGAGCUGAUUGAUUUCGCCAUUUUUUUUCAAGAUUUAGUUAGAUUUCAAUUUCUUUUGUUGUAUCGCAGAGUUCUCCAAAUGGAAAGGAGAUUUUAAGAUUUUUUUUCUCGUUUUUGUUAGAUCUAGUUUCAAUUCGGAUGCUAACAUUUAAUAUAUUUUUUCCAUUAUUUUAGUCCGCAGCAGGAGAAAGUCCGGAUUUGAGACUAGAUGUGGGUUUAGCGCCUUCAAAUAAUGGCACAGAGAUACUUUCUCAAGAUGCACAGGGGAAGUUAGUUAGCAAUGGCAAGGUAAUCUCAAUUUCAAUAGUUAAAUAUUUUAUGAUUCUUUACGUUACAUGAAUUGUGGAUGAAACUCCACAAUCUUUUUACAUCUUUGAGUUGAGUGGUCUUUUGUAUAAGUACUAAAAUGUCAAUGAUCAAAACUCAACCAAGGUUGAUGACAAACAAAGACAAGGACAGAACUGAGAAGUUGAUCAUCAUAUGUAUUGUGUGUCUUGACAUAAUAAAUUAAGAAACUAAUUACAUAUUUUCUUAAAUAAUUAGCUCAAUGUGUGGAAUUAUCAUGCACCAUGGAUGUCUUGUCAUUCUGAAUGAGAUUAGGAUGGCCAUGGCAUUUUGCUGCUGGAUGUAUGUGAGUAUAGUACUAACAACUUGACUAUGUGAAAACCACAAUAUGAUAAAAGUGAAAAUUACAAGAGCUGGCAUUUUGCUGGUGGACAUGUAUUUUCUUAAAAUAACCUUAAGAAUUUGCUUGCAAGAGCUGUAAGCACAAGUUUUGGUUCGGUAUGUCUCUAAAUCAACAUGUUUGGUUUGGUAUCUCUCUACAAGUGGUUUCAAGCACUCAUAAAUAAACAUGACCAUCAUUAAAGUAAUAUUAUUAUUAAUAUUGUGGGGAAGCCAAAAUAAAUCCAGAAAGACUUGGUGAUGUCAUGGUAUUGCAGACUAUUGAGCUGAAUUGCAGGUGGAAUCUGGUGUUUUGAGCACAAGUUGAAGCGGAUGGAGAAUGAGUUUUGUUGCUGCAGUAAAUGGAGAUGACAAUACUCAUGGAGAAUGGUAAUGUCGAGGAGAUGCUGUGCUAAUAUUCAGCUGUUGUUGCUAUGGAUUAUGGUGUAUGUUGAUUAUUUACGUAUUGAUUGAGCGAGAACAAAUAGCUUCUUCUCAUAUUUUUCAAGUGUGUCUCGAUGCUGCCCUUUAUCAUUCUCGGUAUUGUUGAAUUCUUUUAUGCAGCUAAGAAAAUGGUUGCAUAGUCUAUUAUGCAUCUACAAAA
Papaver somniferum (opium poppy) is the source of this 1455-nucleotide long non-coding RNA. RefSeq lists it as uncharacterized. Lineage: Eukaryota; Viridiplantae; Streptophyta; Magnoliopsida; Ranunculales; Papaveraceae. The record is from RefSeq and is a predicted model, not a curated record. The transcript has 2 exons.